GCCAUCACUGACGCUCAUGGACGAAAGCCAGGGGAGCGAAAGGGAUUAGAUACCCCUGUAGUCCUGGCCGUAAACGAUGAACACUAGGUGUCGGGGGAAUCGACCCCCUCGGUGUCGUAGCCAACGCGUUAAGUGUUCCGCCUGGGGAGUACGCACGCAAGUGUGAAACUCAAAGGAAUUGACGGGGGCCCGCACAAGCGGUGGAGUAUGUGGUUUAAUUCGAUGCAACGCGAAGAACCUUACCAGGGUUUGACAUCCUGCGAAUCUCUUGGAAACAGGAGAGUGCCUUCGGGAACGCAGUGACAGGUGGUGCAUGGCUGUCGUCAGCUCGUGUCGUGAGAUGUUGGGUUAAGUCCCGCAACGAGCGCAACCCACGUCUUUAGUUGCCAGCAUUUAGUUGGGCACUCUAGAGAGACUGCCGGUGAUAAACCGGAGGAAGGUGUGGAUGACGUCAAGUCAUCAUGCCCCUUACAUCCUGGGCUACACACGUACUACAAUGCUACGGACAAAGGGCUGCAAGUUCGCGAGGACAAGCAAAUCCCAUAAACCGUGGCUCAGUUCAGAUCGUAGGCUGCAACUCGCCUACGUGAAGGCGGAAUCGCUAGUAAUCGCAGGUCAGCAUACUGCGGUGAAUACGUUCCCGGGCCUUGUACACACCGCCCGUCACACCAUGGAAGUUGGCCACGCCCGAAGCCGUUACUCCAACCCUUUUAGGGAGGAAACUGUCGAAGGUAGGGUCGGUAACUGGGACUAAGUCGUAACAAGGUAACCGUAGG
This 776-nucleotide ribosomal RNA is filed under the name uncultured bacterium. Its description in RNAcentral is "bacterial SSU rRNA". It matches the Rfam family "Bacterial small subunit ribosomal RNA", at positions 733 to 1506 of the family's 1533-position model. The record is from RNAcentral.